This 425-nucleotide ribosomal RNA is filed under the name uncultured bacterium. Its description in RNAcentral is "bacterial SSU rRNA". It matches the Rfam family "Bacterial small subunit ribosomal RNA", at positions 354 to 796 of the family's 1533-position model. The record is from RNAcentral.
GUCGGGAAUUUUGCGCAAUGGACGAAAGUCUGACGCAGCAACGCCGCGUGAGGGAUGACGGCCUUCGGGUUGUAAACCUCUUUUGUCAGGGAAGAUGAUGACGGUACCUGGCGAAUAAGCCACGGCUAACUACGUGCCAGCAGCCGCGGUAAUACGUAGGUGGCAAGCGUUGUCCGGAUUUACUGGGCGUAAAGAGCGCGCAGGCGGUCGUCCAAGUCGCGUGUGAAAGCCCCCGGCUCAACUGGGGAGGGUCACGCGAUACUGAUCGACUCGAAGGCAGGAGAGGGUAGUGGAAUUCCCGGUGUAGUGGUGAAAUGCGUAGAUAUCGGGAGGAACACCAGUGGCGAAGGCGACUACCUGGCCUGUUCUUGACGCUGAGGCGCGAAAGCUAGGGGAGCAAACGGGAUUAGAUACCCUUGUAGUCC